AUGAACUCUGCGCCGUUGGAGGCGGCAUCGUCCCUACUGUACCUAUCCUUGUCCCAUCCCUCCACACCCCCCACACCUCCCCGAGCCUGCACCCGACCCUUUACAAACAUUUCCUGCAAGGUAUGCUCGCGUGGACCCUCAAAGUCCCUAUUCCCGUUCUCCAGCAGCGCUCCCGCCGGGUCUGGUCCACGGCUCGCCCCGCCCCCGUCGUCUCGGCAACGGGGCGCCGCAGCCGGGUAAGGGGAAGAAGGGGAAAGGCCCAGGCAAGGCCCCUGGGAAGAAGCAGAAGAAGCCCGAAGUGGACAUCCUGAGUCCGGCCGCCAUGCUGAACCUGUACUACAUCGCGCACAAUGCAGCCGACUGCCUCCAGCUGCGUGGCUUCCGGUGGCCCGGCGCGCCCAAGGGGAAGAAGGGCAGGAACAAGACCUAAGAGAAGAGAGAAGGAGAUAACCGGACAGCGAUGACUGCAGGCAAAAUAGACCUCACCGGAGACAUUUUGAAAUGCAGCUCAGUGUGCUUUUUGGUGGUAAAUUAGGAUUUUAAAGCGCAUUUUACUUCCUCAGCUGACCCAGGUAUAACUAAGGGGAGGUUUUUCAAAAGUUAUGGGAAACAAGCCCCGUGCAGUGCCUACACAGCUUGGUGGAACUCCUGGUACUUUUAAAAACUAUCAUCAUAAUUCUGUGUCAGAAUUAAACCUUGCUCUGGAAAGGCAGUUGCAGGUUGCAUGACUUGUUUUGUUUUGCAGAAGGGGGUUUGCUAUUAGAGAAGACACAGCGCGUGCUUGGACUUUACUUAUGAACACCCCUCUCUGGCACUGUUUUUUGUUUUUGUUUUUGAACCCUGGGCUGAGCCCUGGGCUCUUGUGCGUGCUAGCCCAGUGUUCUAACUUCAUUUUUGUUUUUGUUUUUCUAACGGAAAAAAAGAUUCUUUUUAAGACAAGAUCUUGCUAUUGUUCAGGCUGGCCUUAAAUUCACUUUGUAGCCCAAGUUGGUCUUGAACUCACAGUAACGCUCCUGCCUCAGCCUCCCAAGUGCUGGGAUCACAGGCGUGUACCAUCAUGCCUGGCCAGAAAAUAUUUUCUGUCAUUUUCUUUUAGCUCUUUGGUUAGAUUCAGCUACAGACCCUGGUGAAGACAAGAGUGUCACAAGUGCAGUGAGCUUGCUGGACACAUAAACAGGUGAUUAAAAGGACCAGCGUGCUGGUACAUGCCAGUAUUCCCAGAACUCGGGAGGCUGGGGCAGGAGGAUUGACAUGAGUUCAAGGCCAGCUUGGACUACAUAGCGCAAAGCCAGCCUGCACUAAGCUCCUGUCUCAAAAAGCCAAAAUAAAUAAGUAUAUGUCCAUUGUCCAACCCGAUAGGCAGGAGCCCCUGGUGGCGAUUGAGCACCUGAAGUAUGGCUGUGCAACUGCAGAACUGACCUGAUUUGAUUUCCCUGUAAUUAGUUUAAAUUGGAUGCCUUGGGGCCAGCCCUUGAGGCAUCCAGGAUCCACGUCAGUGCAAGGACCUCAGCAGCAGGGUUGUGACUCUUCCUUCUUGUGCAGUGGUGGUGAGGCCAGGGAUUCUGCAGGCUGGAACAAUGGGCCCUCCCUCUCUGCUCUACCUGUCACCUCUCCCCCUGCAGGGGUGCUUGCUGUAGGUUUCUGCCUUUCCAUGACUUAAGCUCCACUUUACGGUCUUUUUUUUUUUUUUUGUGGUCUUUUUGAGACAGGGUCACCCUGUGCAGCUCAGGCUGACCUUGAGCUCACUUUGUAGCCCAGGCUGGUCUCGAACUCGCAACGAUCCUCCUGCCUCAGCCUCCCGAAUGCUGGGAUUACAGGCAUGUGCCACCACACCAAGCUUUUUUUUUUUGGCACCAGGAAUCCAACUCACAACCUCACGCUUGCCAGGCACGUGCUGUGCCACUAAGCCGUAUCCCCAGCCUAUGGUCAUUUUUUUGGCUUGCUUUGAAGUUCAGCUUCAAAGUGAGACCCCUCAUUCUUGGGGUGUGACAGGAGGAAGGACCUGAUGGACACCCUGUCCCUUCAUGGGGCCUGGCUCUGUUGCAGCAGCACGGGGUGCGCAGUUGCAGUUGGGGCCUCCCGCUUGGCCUCAGCUGUGCUCACAGGGUGGGCUGAGUGGGUCAGGUGUCCCUGAACAGCGCAUCCAGAGUGAGCCUUCUGCAGGCCGGGGCGUGUGAACACUCACGUUCCUUCCCUCUGUGUCUCCCUGUAUGGUCAAGAUCCUAGAGAAAAUUCACCUCUGCUUGCAGUUUCAUUCACUUCCUCACAGUAAACAUGUCACACACGUUUUUCUUCUCUUGCUAUUGAUUGAUUUAUUUACUUUAACCAACUUUGUAGUUUUUGUUGCUUUCCUCCUGACUCCUCCUGAGUGCUAAAAUUACCAGUGUGUGCCACCAGAACCAGCUUCCCAUUUUGUGUUUUAAAAAUUUUCAAACCUAUAGAUAGUUUUUUUGUGGGGGCUGGGGAUUUAGCUCAGUGGCACAGCGCCUGCCUGGCAAGCGCAAGGUGGUGAGUUUGAUUCCUGGUACCGGAAAAACAAACAAACAAACAAACAAAAAAUUUGUGUGUGUGUGUGUGAGUGUGUGUGUCUUUUUGAGACAGGGUCCCCCUGUGCAACUCAGGCUGACCUUGAGCUCACUUUGUAGCCCAGGCUGGUCUCGAACUUGCAACCUCAGCCUCCCAAGUGCUGUGAUUACAGGCAUGUGCCAAAACCUAUAAAGAGUUUGAAAGAAAAUUCAGUGAAGGGGCUGGGGAUUUAGCUCAGUGGCACACUGCCUGCCUGGCAAGCGCAAGGUCGUGAGUUCGAUUCUUGGCGCUGGAAAAAAAACAAAAAAACAAAAAUUCAGUGAAUACCCAGAUCCUUUGCCUAGAGCAGGGCUCCCAGUCUUGGCCUUCUUGACCUUUUGUGCUGGGUGUCCCUCACCAUGGGUUGCCCCAGGGUCCUAGGAUGUCUGGCCGCACCUGCUGAGGGGCGGCUGUGCCGCCAGCCUCCAGCCCCACCUGCCAGAUGCUGCAGCAUACUUGGCUAUGACGGUCACGUGUCUCCACACUGCCAGAUGUGCCCCAGGAGACAAGAAUCACCCCACUCACUGACCUAAAUUUGUACAUUUACAUUUUGUUGCAUUUGUCCCUGCACACUAUACACAUUAAUAAUAUGAAUACAUACUUGUAUACACACAAAACACUGACAUCAAGCCUCCUGAGUCCUGGGAUGACAGGCAUGUGCCACAUGCCCAACCUACAGUAGAAUAUUAUCUGGCCUUAAAAAUGAAUGAAAUUCUCCAGCUGGUUGGGGUGGCCCACAUCUGUAAUCCCAGUGUCAGGAGACGGAGCCAGGAGGAUCAUCUCAGGUUCAAGGCUUGCUUGAACUACAUAGCGAGAGCCUGUCUCCAAAAGACAAAACCAAAACCAAAACAAAAACUGGAUGAAAUUCUUAUGUUACGGCAUGGAUGAAAUCCUUUGAAACAUGCUAAAUGAAAUAAGCAGAUAUAAAAGGACAAGUAUUGUAGAUUUACUUGCAUAAGUAAUCUAAAACAGGAAUAGUCCCAGAGAGAGACCAGUGAUCACCAGGGGCUGGGACAGUGGCAGGAGGUUUCUGUUUACUGGGUACAGAGUUAUGGCUGGGAAGGUGUGCAGGGCCUAGAGAUGGCAGUGGUGGUAGUUACACAGUGUGAGUCUGUUACUGCCACUGCACGGCCCCCUUCACAUGGCUAAAAUGCAAAGAUUUAUGUUGUGUGUAUUUUAGCCCAAUACAAAAUCCAGACUUUGUUUGUUUUAGAUCUCUAGAGAGGUUGGGAAGGGACAGCAGCAGGUGCAGGGAAGAUGUCCCUGGGCAGAAGAGCAGCCUUGGAGGAAGGGGCCCGCAGGCGGACAGCAGCCCCGCUCCUCCCACAGCACCCGUCCUCCGCAGCCUGCAGCUUUGCUCCGUGUCCUUCCUCGUAAGGCAGAGAAGCUGGGGCUCCUGCAAGACCCUGUCCCGAAACAGAAAAAGUGCUGGGCGUGUAGGUUGGUGGCGCUGUGCCCCUAGGUUUAAUCCCCAACACUGGGGGCAUAUAAUCCUUUUAUAAGACUUUUUUCUCUUCCUUCCCCUCCUCCUCCUCAUUUUUUAUUUAAAUGGACCUUUAGAAGUGCACUACAUUAAGCCAGGUGUUGUGGCAAAUACCUAUAAUCCCAGCAUUUGGGAAGCUGAGGCAGGAAGACUGCUACAAGUUCGACACCAGCCUGGGUUACAAAGAGAAACCUUGUCAAAAAUGAUAAAACGAGUGCACUAUAUGAAUUUGCAGGAUUUUUACCUACAUCAGUAGAGCCUGCCUCUGUGCCUGGAGUUCAGUUGUACUUACCGCCACAUUACUCAGCUGUAUAAAAGAAUGUCCAUUUACACAGCCUGGUCAAAUGUUUUAUCUUUUUGAGACAGGGUCUCACUAUGCAGUUCAGGCUGGCCUUGAAUUUUGUAACGCAGGCUGGCCUCGAACUCGCAAUGAUCCUCCUGCCGCAGCCUCCUGAGUGCUGGGAUUACAGGCGUGCGCCACCACGCCCGGCUUCUUGGUCAAAUGUUUUAAAAAAUGCAUCUGGGGCCCAGGGAUGUAGCUGAAUAGAGUGUGUACUUAGCAUACACAAAGCCCUAGGUUCAGUCUACAGUAGGAAAACAAAUGCGUAUAUAUAUUCUUACCUAAAAGGAGUACAUGCUGUUUUCCAAAGGCCCAGGAUGAUUUAUAGGACUGUUGCAGUGGCUCAGUUCUCAUUCUUAUAGCAAGUCCUGGGUUUGCUUCUACCCAGGCAGGUGAGCAGUGUGGCAGUGCAGACAGACAGCACCCAGGGAUCGAGCAGCUACUCACACAGACAUGGGCGGCCAUCUGCUGCUUGGGUUUGCACAGAUGUGCAAAGCCAUCCACCUGGCCAUGGCUUUAGGUGUCUUUGUAGAAAGCAGAGUCCCUAGGUUGGGAGUUAAGUCAUGGGUUGCAAAGCAAGACAUACCCUUGGAUAAAUAGAUGUGCGAUCUUGGGCCAAGCUGUCUAAUUUAUCUGUGGUUGUUUUCCCAAUUGUAAAACUGAAAGACCAAAAAAGACCUUAUCUUAUAGGAUAUCAUGGGGAUUAAAUGAGAAAAUAAUGUUUUGG
Molecule: long non-coding RNA, 5115 nt
Organism: Chinchilla lanigera (long-tailed chinchilla)
Lineage: Eukaryota; Metazoa; Chordata; Mammalia; Rodentia; Chinchillidae
Source: Ensembl